RNAcentral lists this ribosomal RNA (879 nucleotides) under Ramularia lethalis. Its description in RNAcentral is "eukaryotic LSU rRNA". It matches the Rfam family "Eukaryotic large subunit ribosomal RNA", at positions 33 to 943 of the family's 3401-position model. Lineage: Eukaryota; Fungi; Ascomycota; Dothideomycetes; Mycosphaerellales; Mycosphaerellaceae. The record is from RNAcentral.
CUUAAGCAUAUCAAUAAGCGGAGGAAAAGAAACCAACAGGGAUUGCCCUAGUAACGGCGAGUGAAGCGGCAACAGCUCAAAUUUGAAAUCUGGCGCAAGCCCGAGUUGUAAUUUGUAGAGGAUGCUUCUGGGUAGCGACCGGUCUAAGUUCCUUGGAACAGGACGUCAUAGAGGGUGAGAAUCCCGUAUGUGACCGGCCCGCACCCUCCACGUAGCUCCUUCGACGAGUCGAGUUGUUUGGGAAUGCAGCUCUAAAUGGGAGGUAAAUUUCUUCUAAAGCUAAAUACCGGCCAGAGACCGAUAGCGCACAAGUAGAGUGAUCGAAAGAUGAAAAGCACUUUGGAAAGAGAGUUAAAAAGCACGUGAAAUUGUUGAAAGGGAAGCGCUCACAACCAGACUUCUGGGCGGUGUUCCGCCGGUCUUCUGACCGGUCUACUCGCCGUCCCGAGGCCAACAUCAUCUGGGACCGCCGGAUAAGACCUCAGGAAUGUAGCUCCCCUCGGGGAGUGUUAUAGCCUGUGGUGAUGCGGCGCGUCCCGGGUGAGGUCCGCGCUUCGGCAAGGAUGUUGGCGUAAUGGUUGUCAGCGGCCCGUCUUGAAACACGGACCAAGGAGUCUAACAUCUAUGCGAGUGUUCGGGUGUCAAACCCCUACGCGUAAUGAAAGUGAACGGAGGUGGGAAGGGUAACCUGCACCAUCGACCGAUCCUGAUGUCCUCGGAUGGAUUUGAGUAAGAGCAUAGCUGUUGGGACCCGAAAGAUGGUGAACUAUGCCUGAAUAGGGUGAAGCCAGAGGAAACUCUGGUGGAGGCUCGCAGCGGUUCUGACGUGCAAAUCGAUCGUCAAAUUUGGGUAUAGGGGCGAAAGACUAAUCGAACCAU